This 6586-nucleotide long non-coding RNA is filed under the name Malus domestica (apple). RNAcentral's name for it is "long non-coding RNA (MDOM_LNC020318)". The record is from RNAcentral. Lineage: Eukaryota; Viridiplantae; Streptophyta; Magnoliopsida; Rosales; Rosaceae.
GCUAAACAAGGCUCAACGGGGCUAAAACCUACAAAAACAGAUGUAUGGAAUGAAGGCUUUUUGGCUAUGGUGGUAACUACUAAACAACUUCAUCUUGAAUACCUGUUAUGCAAUUCAAUGAAAUGUUUUGAAUGAAAUUGGCAUGAGUUCUAGCAUUUGGAACUAAAGUGAUGAAACGCCUUCUAAGUAAUAACCAAGCAAAGAAUAGUGAGAUCAUGCAACGACUUUAGAAAACAAGAAUGCACAGAUUUUAACUCUCCAAAUAAUGUUUAGGCUCAAGUCUCACAAGGUUGUAGCGUUAGUUUGAGUUCCUUCCUUCAAACAUGUUACAAAAACUAAUUUUUUGCUUUAUGAUUACAUGUGAAUUCAUAAGUUAUAACCACAACCAAGCAUAAACCAAGAGUAAAUCAAACUUUCAUCCAUGUUUAUAACUCUCUUUAACAGUCAUGCAAUUAAAAACCGAAUCCUCAUCAUUGUGUUGGAAGGUACCCUAAGACACAAACAAACACACAAAAACAACUUAAAAACGACUCUUUUUGGGUUUUGUAAAACAAUUUUUCAAAUUUUUAUGGGAUUUUCGGAUUUUUGAAUCAAAACACAUUAAAACACACCAAAACAGCCUAAAAACACCUAAAAACAGCAAGAAACAACAUUGGAAAUUAUGAGUGAGAAAACCCUACGAAUUUGCAUCAAAACACUUUGGUUACCCCCCCACACUUAAACCAAACAUUGUCCUCAAUGUUUCAAAGCAUAAACUAACACAAAAACACAUAAACAAACAAACAAACACUAACAACCGAACAUGGCAGAAACGAAAUAAACAACAAAGAGAAGGGUUUAGGAACGCAAAUCUGGAAUUGGAGUGCUCUCUAGGUCUUCCUUUGUCGAAUGCAUGGGUUGCCUCCCAAGAAGCGCUUGCUUUAACGUCUUCCAGCCGGACGGUACCUCCGUUUAAGCUUGACUAGGUGCCACGGCAUGGAGGGGUACCUCCUCCACGACAUGCUCCUCAAACAUCUCGUAAUAGGGCUUCAAUCGAUGCCCAUUCACUUUGAAUUCUUGUUGCGUCCUUGCACUCUUGAUUUGCACUGCACCAUGAGGGAAAACAUUAGUGACAAUAAAAGGACCAACCCAUUUGGAACGCAACUUACCCGGAAACAACCGAAGGCGAGAAUUGAACAACAACACUUUCUGCCCAAUAGAGAACGUCUUGGCACGAAUCAUCUUGUCAUGGAAUGCCUUCGUUUUCUCCUUGUAAAUCCGGGCAUUCUCAUAUGCUUCAUUUCGGAUUUCCUCAAGCUCACACAAUUGGAGCUUCCUAUGUAAACCUGCGGCAUCAAGGUCCAUGUUAAACGUUUUGACGGCCCAAUGUGCACGAUGCUCUAACUCGACGGGAAGAUGGCAUGGCUUCCCAUAGAUGAGCCGAAAAGGUGACAUCCCAAUGGGGGUUUUGUAGGCAGUGCGAUACGCCCACAAUGCAAUCCUUUAAGCGCAAACUCCAAUCCUUCCUCGUAGGCCCACGGUCUUCUCAAGAAUCUUGCUUGAUUUCCCUAUUCGAAACCUCGGCUUGCCCGCUCGUUUGAGGAUGAUAAGGUGUGGCCACCUUAUGCGUGACAUUGUAUUUCUUGAGCAACGCCUCGAUGGUUUCGAUUACAAAAAAUGGGAACCUCCAUCACUGAUGAGCACGCGUGGCAUUCCAAACCUUGCAAAAAUGUUAGUUUUCACAAAAUCUGCAAACCACUCGAGAAUCAUUAGUUCGGGUGGCUUUUGCUUCCACCCACUUUCGACACAUAAUCCACAGCAAGCAAUAUAUAAAGAAAUCCAUGUGACGAAGGAAAGGGACCCAUAAAAUCAAUACCCCAAACAUCAAAUAAUUUCAACACUAAAAAUGGGGUUUGCGGCAUUUGUUGUUUAGGACCAAUAUUGCCCGUUCUUUGGCAUCUAUCACAAGACAUGCAAAAUGUUCUAGCAUCCCUAAAGAUGGUAGGCCAAUAGAAACCACAUUCUAAUACCUUAAGUGCUGUUCUAUUGAGUGCCAAAGUGUCCCCCACAAGCAUAAAGUGUGACAAAAUGUUAGAAUAGCAUUAAACUCAGAAUCGUGCACACACCUACGUAUAACUUGGUCAGGGCAAUAUUUCCAUAAAUACGGGUCAUCCCACACAUAAAACCGUGCCUCUUUCUUCAAUUUAUCACCUUGGUGUUUAAGUAAUUCACUAGGAACAUGUUUAGACACCAAAUAAUUCACCAAAUCAGCAUACCACGGUUCACUUACUACCUUGACGGACAUCAGUUGCUCAUCUGGGAAUGUCUCUAUGAUAGGUACGGCAUCCUCCUCAUGUACCAUACGGCUCAAGUGGUCAGCCACCACGUUUUCACUUCCCUUCUUGUCCCGGAUUUCGAUAUCGAACUCUUGGAGAAGAAGCAUCCAACGAAUGAAGUCGUGGUUUGGCCUCCUUCUUGGUGAACAAAUACUUCAAUGCUGCAUGGUCAGUAUAAAUAAUAACUUUAGUACCAAGCAAAUAAGAACGGAAUUUAUCUAAAGCAAAUACAACAGCAGAAGUUCUUUUUCAGUGGUGGAAUAAUUCAAUUGUGCAUCAUUUAAAGUCCGAGAGGCAUAAUAGAUAACAUGCGGCCUCUUUUCCUUCCUUUGCCCCAAAACAGCUCCUAAUGCAUAAUCGGAAGUGAUGCGAAAUAUAUUAAGCACACAAAUUAAACCCUCUUUUGACAAUUGUAGCAAAGUAUGUAAGUAGGGAUCGUUCUAACCGGGGAUUAGGAGGGAUUGCUAAACACUUGAAAACUGAUUUAAAAACUUAAAAACAAAGUUUAAAACACUAAACUUAGACUCAAAGAAUGCAAAACUAAAGUUUAAAACACUAAAACAAAACAAAAACUCAAAAACAGCAACCUAGAAGACUCAAAACUGCCUUAAAAACCACUUUCUGGGCAGUUUUGAGCACCUACACAAUUUGGACGAAUUGGGUGAAACUUUGACUCAAAAUACUUAAAACACAACCAAAACACUUUCUAACUAAUUAAGACUUCAAAGUAAAUGAGGAUUUGAUUUGGACGAAAUAAAUUUGAUAAAACAGAUUGCAAAGUAAAACAGAUUUGAAAACGUUUUGGGGUUUUAAAUGGAUGAUGGACUAGUUAGGGCUCUUUCUCCACACAUGACAAGUAUGCAAACGACUCAAAUUUCCAGUUAUUCCUUCGUUGAAUUAUGAAUGACAAUGCCCCAAAUUAAACCGUGACAUCACUAGUUAAUUCUCAAGUUUUCCUUGUGUUAUUGGAUUGGGAUGACAUCAUUCGACAACCCAAAGCAUUCCUCAAAAGUUCCCUACAUGACAUCAUAAUAAAGAUACAAUCAAAGAUCAUUACGUUCAAUGAAACUAUAAGCAUUGACAAAGCACUUGCAACUAUGACAUCAUGUCACUCAUGCUAGGAAUUGAACUUAACGCGAUCGUGACUAGCGACCUUCACUACAUAUGAAUAUAAGUGUGUGACGAUUAUGUGAAACAACCUUAUAUUCUAGCAACAUAUUCAUGCAAGCCAAUUAAGUGUCGACCCCUAAUUAACAAACACAAUAAGUUAUUACUCGCACAGUAAGCCAAUUGCAUUUCACGAUUCAAGAACUCAUAACUGGAAUUUAUCAAAUCAAAUUGCAUACAUAGUCAUGGCUUCGAAUCACCCCUAACCAAUAGGGGUUUAGCCACUCAUGUUCGUAGCAAAACGAAAGGAAAAGAAAUUAAACAUUGAAAUCAUAAAACGAAUUACACCUAGAAUGCACCAACGAUGAAGCUUAAGCAUCCAAGAGUCCUUCCUUCUUUCUCCUUGCUGCUGCACACGAAUGGGUGAGUUUUGGGGUUAUGAAUGGUGUAGAUGAUGGUUUUAUGGCUGGGAUAGGUGUAUGGGACGGCUAGGGGGUUUUUUGGUCAGAAAAUAUGGUGAAUGGUGAAGGAUAGGUGCGGCAGAGAGAGUGAGUGAUGUUUUCUGGCGUGAAUGGGACUGAAUGGGUUGUGUGGAAUGUUUUGUGGCUGCAACAAGAGGUUUAUUUAAAGGGAAACAGAAAUUCAAAAACCCUAGGCUAAUUAGGUAAUCAGAAAUUAAGUCUAAGGAUUCUUAAGAAUUAGGAAAUAAAUCAGAAAAUUAAAGGAAAGGGCAAGGGAAAUUCGGCUAGGGUUUAAAACACAAAAGGAAGUGUUUUAAAGCAUAAAAACAGGAAAUAAGGAAGAGGAAAUGCAAAGGGGGGUGCGGCAAGGGUUCAAAAGGGUUCUAGGCUUUUGUUUUGUGUCCUAGAAUGCUUAGAAAGUCUUCAUAAUUGCUGGAACUUUUAGGGACAAUUAGGAAAAAUCAAACCAAAGUAGGAAACCUUGGCUUAACUUUCCUACUUCAAGUAGGAAUCCUUGUUGGAGGAGAAUCCUUGUUCUUCUAGGAAUCCUCAUGUGAUUAGGAAUCGUCUUCAUAGGAAUCCUCUUGUUAGGUCCUUCGUCGAAUUAGGAAUCCUCGUUUAUGUAAGCACUUUCCUACUUCAACUAGAAACCUUGUUCAAGUAGGAAUCAUCAUCUUCAAGUCUUCAAAUUCGUCCAAACCUUGCUCCAAUUAUGUGAUAUCAUUCCAAGCCCAAUUUUGCUCCAAAAAGCUCAAAAUGCAUCUUUUGCAUCUUUUUGGCCUUAAAACCUGAAACACAUAAGCUAGCUAAAAGACUACUUUAAUAAGAAACACUAUGGAGAUGAUAAGAACUAGCUAACUAAGGAACAUAAAAUGCUCCUAUCACAAUAGAGGAAAGAUGAGGGAGGUGGCGGCUCAUGUUUUAGAAAAACAGUCUAAAACUAAAGGAAAUAGGUCUACUGUGCGCAAGGUUUGGGAAAGGUCUUGUACCUAAAACUGGGUGGGAAAGGGACCUUCACGGCAAGGAAGGGGGAUUAAAGAAAGGUGAACAAAGGUCCUAGAGUGGUUUUAGGGCCUUUGUUUGGUGUCCCAAAGUGCUUAAAGGUAUUCAAAGUGGCUGGAAAUAGGAAUUAGGAAAGGCAAGGUAACCAAAAUAGGAAAACAUGGCUUAAGUUCCUACUUCAAGUAGGAACCUUUUCUUCGAACCUCAAUUCAUCCAACCUCGUCCUUCGCAUGUCCUUUUCAUUCCAAGCUCACUUUUUGCUCCAAAAGCUCCAAUUUGUUUUUUUUCAACUUUAACCUAAAACACAAAAAUACAGCCCUAAAGAAAACAAUAAAUGCAGGAACAAGCCUUAAGUAGCAUAAAUUGCUCCUUCAAUUCCCCCACACUUAGCUUUUGCUAGUCCUCGAGCAAAACAAACAAAAGAAAGAAAACAAAACGAAACAAACUAACCAAAACAAACCUAAACCUUCCAACGUUUGCCUCAGGGAUUUCCAAUGCACAUGACAUGUUAAAGAUUGUUAUCCCCACAGAUUUGAGUCAUCUUUACACAAAGCACAUACUUAAUUAAAGCCACCACUUACUAGUUCACAAGUAAUCAAUUAAAACAAUGCUUUGAAUGUAGUAACAUGCCUUAGAGAAUUCCCUCAAUUCCUUACAAGAUAUACACUCUAUUUUCACUCAGAUUUUCUAACUCCACACCCUACACUAGUCAUAUGUGAGAAGAUUGAUGUAGAUAUGAAAACGAAUGCUCACAUAUAUGUAUUCACAAAGAACGCAAUUUCUAGAGUUAAGAAGCAUGUUUAGAUAUGAUCUCAUGAAUGGAAUGCUACUACUUAGAUGCGAGAACCAGUGACACCAUAUGCUCAUACCAAAUUCAAACUCCACAAAUUGAAACACAUAACACUCAAGAUAGAAGUUAAGGGUUGUAACGGGGCUUGGGGUGUUGGUUAACAAGGAAAGGAUAGGGAAAACAAACGUUCUUCAAGCAAUAGUAAGCAAAGCAAUGAAAUUGAGACUUAGAAUUCACUUAGAUUGCAGAAAUUAACUUUAAAACACAAGGGGAAGACUUAAACAACUCCUUAGGGCCGAAUUCAUUGUUUUGGACCCUUACUUCAACAAACAAUACUUUGGAACUCUUUUUCUCAACUUUUCAACUUUUUUUUCAUACUUUUCACACUUUUUUUUUUUUUUCUUUUCUUUUCUUUGCCGUGCCUAUGGCACACAAUUCCAUGAAAAACACUUCCCCCACACUUGUUUUCUGCCAACAUAAAAUCAAAAGGAAUUCAAUUUGAAUCAUGCUUUACUAUGCUUUAAGAACAAGGGUAUGGAUGGUCCUAAACUAGGCUAGGUGAGGAUAAUGUGGUUAACAAAGAAUGAAGGCUAAACAAGGCUCAACGGGGUUAAAACCUAAACAUAAACAUAGAUAUGGGAUUCACGGCUUUUGGCUAAGGUGGUGGUCACUACACAACUUCAUCUUGAAUAUGUGUUAUGCAAAUCAAUAACAUGCUUUGAAUGAAAUGGGCAUGAGUUCUAGCAUUUGGAACUAAAUGAUGAAACGCCUUCUAAGUAGCAACCAAGCAAGGAAUAAUGAGAUCAUGCAACGACUUAGAAAACAAAGAAUGCACAGAUUUUAACUCUCCAAAUAAACGUUUAGGCUCAAGUCUCACAAGGUUGUAGCGUUAGUUUGAGUUCCUUCCUUCA